GUGACUGCGUACCUUUUGUAUAAUGGGUCAGCGACUUAUAUUCUGUAGCAAGGUUAACCGAAUAGGGGAGCCGGAGGGAAACCGAGUCUUAAUUGGGCGUUAAGUUGCAGGGUAUAGACCCGAAACCCGGUGAUCUAGCCAUGGGCAGGUUGAAGGUUGGGUAACACUAACUGGAGGACCGAACCGACUAAUGUUGAAAAAUUAGCGGAUGACCUGUGGCUGGGGGUGAAAGGCCAAUCAAACCGGGAGAUAGCUGGUUCUCCCCGAAAGCUAUUUAGGUAGCGCCUCGUGAAUUCAUCUCCGGGGGUAGAGCACUGUUUCGGCUAGGGGGCCAUCCCGGCUUACCAACCCGAUGCAAACUGCGAAUACCGGAGAAUGUUAUCACGGGAGACACACGGCGGGUGCUAACGUCCGUCGUGAAGAGGGAAACAACCCAGACCGCCAGCUAAGGUCCCAAAGUCAUGGUUAAGUGGGAAACGAUGUGGGAAGGCCCAGACAGCCAGGAUGUUGGCUUAGAAGCAGCCAUCAUUUAAAGAAAGCGUAAUAGCUCACUGGUCGAGUCGGCCUGCGCGGAAGAUGUAACGGGGCUAAACCAUGCACCGAAGCUGCGGCAGCGACACUCAGGUGUUGUUGGGUAGGGGAGCGUUCUGUAAGCCUGUGAAGGUGGCCUGUGAGGGUUGCUGGAGGUAUCAGAAGUGCGAAUGCUGACAUAAGUAACGAUAAAGCGGGUGAAAAGCCCGCUCGCCGGAAGACCAAGGGUUCCUGUCCAACGUUAAUCGGGGCAGGGUGAGUCGACCCCUAAGGCGAGGCCGAAAGGCGUAGUCGAUGGGAAACGGGUUAAUAUUCCCGUACUUGGUGUUACUGCGAAGGGGGGACGGAGAAGGCUAUGUUGGCCGGGCGACGGUUGUCCCGGUUUAAGCGUGUAGGCUGGUUUUCCAGGCAAAUCCGGAAAAUCAAGGCUGAGGCGUGAUGACGAGGCACUACGGUGCUGAAGCAACAAAUGCCCUGCUUCCAGGAAAAGCCUCUAAGCAUCAGGUAACAUCAAAUCGUACCCCAAACCGACACAGGUGGUCAGGUAGAGAAUACCAAGGCGCUUGAGAGAACUCGGGUGAAGGAACUAGGCAAAAUGGUGCCGUAACUUCGGGAGAAGGCACGCUGACACGUAGGUGAAGUGAUUUACUCAUGGAGCUGAAGUCAGUCGAAGAUACCAGCUGGCUGCAACUGUUUAUUAAAAACACAGCACUGUGCAAACACGAAAGUGGACGUAUACGGUGUGACGCCUGCCCGGUGCCGGAAGGUUAAUUGAUGGGGUCAGCGCAAGCGAAGCUCCUGAUCGAAGCCCCGGUAAACGGCGGCCGUAACUAUAACGGUCCUAAGGUAGCGAAAUUCCUUGUCGGGUAAGUUCCGACCUGCACGAAUGGCGUAAUGAUGGCCAGGCUGUCUCCACCCGAGACUCAGUGAAAUUGAACUCGCUGUGAAGAUGCAGUGUACCCGCGGCAAGACGGAAAGACCCCGUGAACCUUUACUAUAGCUUGACACUGAACAUUGAGCCUUGAUGUGUAGGAUAGGUGGGAGGCUUUGAAG
Molecule: ribosomal RNA, 1584 nt
Filed under: Salmonella enterica subsp. enterica serovar Anatum
Lineage: Bacteria; Pseudomonadati; Pseudomonadota; Gammaproteobacteria; Enterobacterales; Enterobacteriaceae
Description: partial 23S ribosomal RNA
Rfam family: Bacterial large subunit ribosomal RNA
Source: RNAcentral